AAUAUAGGACACCCAGUUAAAUUUGAAUUUCAGAUAAAUCAUGGAAUUUUAAAGCUCAUUUGGGACAUAGUUUCCCAUGUUUCCUGAUUGUUUACCCAAAAUUUGAAUUUAAUUUGGUGUCCUGUAUGUUAUCUUACAAUCGUACUUGUUGAUUUGUUCAAAUUUUCUAGGAAACAUAAUUCUAAAACUAAGAAAGGGGCCACAAUAGGAACCCAUUCUGACAUGAUGAAUUAUUACAUAUAGCGAGAUAUACUGAAGGCUAGAGAAUAUCCAUCAAAAGUAGCAUAUUCACAGAGUAAAACACAAUUUGGGAUGACUUAAUCCCUAUCCCAUGGUCAUAAAAGUGUUCAUCGAUUGAGUAUCUGUGACACUCAAGUAUCUUUGAAGUCGGGUUGGCAGCUCCUAUGCCCAAGAGAGAAAUGCAGCGAUGGAUGUGAUGCAGUUAUUUAGGUACAAAGAGAAGAGGCCUAAAACAGAAACGUAAAGACCCCUGCAUGUAAGGGGUGGCAGAAGAAGACUACUUCAGAAAGAGACUGUGAAAGGGCAUCAAGGGGAGGAAGACAGGAAGAAGCAUUCUCCACUGAACACUCCCCACUGAAAUAAGCCACAGUGCUUGAGAAGAUGGCUACUUCUAAGACAAAGGAGGAGAAAGAAAGCACACACGCAAGCAGGGGGAGAGGCAAGAGAGAGAGGAGGAUGAGAAUUCCAAGUAGACUUCGUGCACUGUCAGCACAGAACCCGCAAACUGGGGCUCGAACCAGCAAACUGUGGGGUCACGACCCGAGCUGAAAUCAAGAGUUGGAUGCUUAACCAAGUGAGCUGGUUAUUUUGCUGUUUACCUUGUCUCCAAAGUGAAAGUCUUAAGGAACAAUUUCAAGACACACAGUUUUUAAAAGGAUGGGAAGGAGGCUCAGACCAGUGUGCUGUCAGAGGAGUCUGGGGAAGAAGAAAUCGUCCGUAGUGUCAUAUGCUACAGAGGGUGCCAGGACAGGAAUCAUGCGUUCCAAAGAGAAGAAAAGUAUCCCAUUUAAUUUAUUUUUUGGCCACAUACCUAAUUGAGGAGGCAAGCCCUUAGGUGGGAGUCACAGUGAGCUGCCCUGAGUUUUUCCCAAGCCUAACAAAAGAAAGAAGGACCGGCCACCGCUUGUGCCUGCCAACCGUGCAUUGUUCAAGGAAUCAAAAUAAAGAGGCAACGGGGUCAAGGAGCCAACGGUGUUCAGCUUUCCUAACCGCUGAAGUGUAAAUCACAACUGGGAGACUAUUGAGGCGAUUUGGGCCAAACUGCAGAGAAACAAGAGAAAAAGGUAAUCGUAUCUUAACCCAGUCAAUCCGAAAUUUCCUGGUCAGCAAUAGUAAGGAAACCUGCCUGACAGAUCCCUCCUGUCCCGCCCCCCAGAAGAUGAGAGAUGCUCACAGAAGUAUGUGUGCUACAGGAUCAAAGCAUGCCGGAAUGCCAAGUAAAUACGUGGCAUACAGGUGCUGUGGAAAGUGACCAAGGAGAGAUUUGCCUGCUCGAAACUUUAAUUUUGUUGCGUGAAACCAUUGGUAUUAACGUGCUGCUCGUUAACACAGCACAACCUAGGCUAUCCUAACCAAUAUGUGUAUGUGUGUUUGUGUAUCUAUCUAUCUGUCUAUCUAUGUAUCGAUCUAUAAUUAGAAAGAAAGAUAAUUUUCAUAAUUACAACAAUUCAAAGUGGAAGAUACCAAAAAUCCAUUUGUGAAAUAUCCUACGUCAUUUUUGUGAUUCCCAUGGGCCUCAGUGCAAUAUUCUCCAUAUAGUUCUGUAGUAAAUGUCUGAAAGUCUUCUCUAAACACUCACAUUCUACUUUUGUUAGGACAAUCACAUCAAUGCCUAUUGCCGUAUCCCCUUCCAAAAGUGAAACCUUCGAAAUCACCUUAUUUUUAUAACAAUGUAGAAUAAAUCUUGAUUGCUGGUGAAGAAUUUCAAAGGAGAAGGACCAGCAGGUAACAACUUUAUCAGAGCUUUAGAGAGCAUAGUUUAUUUGAGAGAAUGUCUAGUUGAUUUGGGUGGCUAGAUCACAGGUUACAAGAAGGCUGGGAGUAGAGAGGAGGAGGAUUAUGGCAGAAAAUACGUGUGGCUAAUUCUUUCCUGUGUUGCCUUAAGUCUAUAUAUCACAAGAUAUUACAUUCCAUUAAGUUCUACAACAUUUCCAUUAAAAAUACAAUCUGAAUCCUAAGAGGAAAAUAGUGACUACCAGAAACAUAAGAUUCUCGGAAGGCUCAGCAAACUGUAUGCUAAAUUGCAGACAGACAUGUUAGUUUCCUUUGAAUCAGUAAUUUAAAUCUUUCCCCUUAUUUUUCCAUCUAAUUUUCAGUAGGUCACUCUCAAGUCAAAAUUUAAUUUUAUGUGGUUGAAGUGGUAAAGCCAAAAUGAAAUUGCAUGCUGUAGGGGGAAAACUUUAACCUACUUUUAAUAGCCCCUUUGAAAGAUACUUUGAAGACAUGACUUACUCUCAUAGUAUGUUGACUAUCUGAAGAAUGAAUUAUUAUAUCCUUGUCAAAUUUUAAAUAGCAUGCUGUUAAAAAUAUUAGUCACACAGGGGGCUGUUUGACAGUAAUGUCACAGAAAAGCUCUGGUCUAUAUGAACAGGCAGAGUCUGCAACUUAAUAUCAUGGUUCCAUGGAGCUCUGUCUUCCACGGGCAUCCAUGGAGGGGUGGGGGUGGGAACCCGCUUCAGGUUUCCUUGGAACAUUGGCAGGAUUCUGCCAACUGAUGCAUUUUGCUUGCUGUUCCAGCCAGCUGAGAGGGCCUAUGUCUUUCUCCCUUCCGUCCAUUCCUGGCAGAGCUUAGACAAGAGC
Herpailurus yagouaroundi (jaguarundi) is the source of this 2820-nucleotide long non-coding RNA. RefSeq lists it as uncharacterized. The record is from RefSeq and is a predicted model, not a curated record. Lineage: Eukaryota; Metazoa; Chordata; Mammalia; Carnivora; Felidae. The transcript has 8 exons.